UCCUCCUUAGUUCAGUCGGUAGAACGGCGAACAUCCAAUCCGUAGAUAACGGGUUAAAGUCCUUGGGAGGAGCCA
RNAcentral lists this transfer RNA (75 nucleotides) under Aeromonas hydrophila. RNAcentral's name for it is "tRNA-Gly". It matches the Rfam family "tRNA". Rfam says of the family: Transfer RNA (tRNA) molecules are approximately 80 nucleotides in length. The record is from RNAcentral. Lineage: Bacteria; Pseudomonadati; Pseudomonadota; Gammaproteobacteria; Aeromonadales; Aeromonadaceae. RNAcentral also lists the same sequence under 4 other names.